UACGAAGGUGGCGAAUGUUGCUCGGAUUCACUGGGCGUAAAGCGUCGGUAGGAGGUUGUUUAAGUCAGGUGUGAAAGCCCCGUGCUCAACAUGGGAAUUGCACUUGAAACUAGACAACUGGAAGAUAUGAGAGGAUGGCGGAAUAACUGGUGUAGAGGUAAAAUUCAUAGAUAUCAGUUGGAACACCCAUGGCGAAGGCAGCUAUCUGGCAUAUUCUUGACUCUGAGCGACGACAGCGUGGGGAGCAAACAGGAUUAGAUACCCUGGUAGUCCACGCCGUAAACGAUGCAUGCUCGCUGUCGGGUUCGCUACAGAACUCGGUGGCUUAGCUAACGCGGUAAGCAUGCCGCCUGGGGAUUACGGCCGCAAGGUUAAA
Molecule: ribosomal RNA, 376 nt
Filed under: uncultured bacterium
Lineage: Bacteria
Description: bacterial SSU rRNA
Rfam family: Bacterial small subunit ribosomal RNA
Source: RNAcentral